Molecule: ribosomal RNA, 253 nt
Filed under: uncultured bacterium
Lineage: Bacteria
Description: partial 16S ribosomal RNA
Rfam family: Bacterial small subunit ribosomal RNA
Source: RNAcentral
UACAGAGGUCUCAAGCGUUGUUCGGAUUCAUUGGGCGUAAAGAGCGUGUAGGCGGCCCGGUAAGUCCGCUGUGAAAGUCGGGGGCUCAACCCUCGAAAGCCGGUGGAUACUGUCGGGCUAGAGUGCGGAAGAGGCGAGUGGAAUUCCUGGUGUAGCGGUGAAAUGCGCAGAUAUCAGGAGGAACACCGAUUGCGAAGGCAGCUCGCUGGGACGUAACUGACGCUGAGACGCGAAAGCGUGGGGAGCAAACAGG